GAAUGAAAAAGAAAGACCCAAUUUAAAAAAUUUGGGAAAGUGAUUCAGUACACUCUCUUUCUCUCCAAAAACGAUCCAGUACUCUCUCUCUUCUCCUCUCUUUUCUCUCUCAACGCACCACCGACGGCCACCCCAAAACUCCCCCACCACCACCGACGCACCCCCUCACAAUUUGCUCUCUUCUCUCUCCUCCAUCUCACACACUGUCAUCUCGUCGCACCCCCACCGACGAGCAACCCCAAACCCACCCCUACCACCCUCGACGGGCAACCCCAAACCAGACCCUACCACCACCGACACACCACCACGAUCUCUUCUUUCUCACAGUGACUUGUUUGGCCCUUAUGAGCUUCUCAACUUCACUCUUCUUGGACCCUACUCAUUUGGAAAACAAGACUAUUACAUGGGUGUGGCACACAACACCAGCUGAGCAAGCACAGUCUCCUCCAUUGUUGGAAUUUGCUAAAGGAAGUUCAAGUGAAACAAAAAAGGAAGUUGGAAGUUCAAAUGAGACAAAAAGAAUGUGGU
Long non-coding RNA from Rhododendron vialii, 528 nucleotides. RefSeq lists it as uncharacterized. The record is from RefSeq and is a predicted model, not a curated record. Lineage: Eukaryota; Viridiplantae; Streptophyta; Magnoliopsida; Ericales; Ericaceae. The transcript is spliced from 3 exons.